ACUGUGCUCGCGCAUGCGUGGCAAAGGGGUAUUUCCCAAUGAGUGGGGUGAGCGAAAGUUUUUUGUGGAGAAAAUGCUUUCAUAACUGGAAAAGUCGAUGGAGGGAAAGCAUUCCAAGCCGCUGAUCUCGCAUGCUGCCACACUCAGUGAUCGCUCUAAGGCAGGGCCCCUUCAGACCAUCUCGUACCCUUCCAGCAAACUGCAAGCUCUGGCGUAAAGUCCAUAGUUGAUGGCAAUGGCGACAAUCAGGACAGUAAUUUUAUUGCGGAAGAAAAGCGAACUUCCCGAGGCGUUCACGGAGUAAGAAGCGAAACUUGGCAAACUUUUCGUUUUAACUGGUUUCGUUUCGAGGUGUGGGAUUAACACUAAUAAUUUUGAAAAUACUUUGACGAUUGAGGAUUUAUAUUAAUAUGUGGGUGGUGUCGAUGGCAGAAAUGAAGCAGUAACACAACUAAUUAUAGUCUAUUAACUUAAAGUAGGCAUUUCAAAAACUUUAAGACCCUUUCUCAUUUACAAUCGUGUAGUUUGUCGUCAUCGCCGCACAGCAAUUAUUUUCUUCACCCAGUUUGAGACUGCAUUUCAAGUUGGCUUUCAUUCGUGCGCUUUUCGUGAAACGAAGCAUGGUAAAUGGAAAUGAAGAAGAAAAAUAUUUGGGGACUCGAGCGUCUUCCGAAGUUAUUGUUACCAUAAUUAUGAGACAAGCCUCGAGAAAAAAACGACCUUUGUAAUAGAUUUUAAUAUGUUAUAAAUAAAAAUUUGCUUACACAUUCA
Long non-coding RNA from Stegodyphus dumicola, 771 nucleotides. NCBI's taxonomy places the organism in Eukaryota, Metazoa, Arthropoda, Arachnida, Araneae, Eresidae. The record is from RefSeq and is a predicted model, not a curated record.